Non-coding RNA from Theobroma cacao (cacao), 466 nucleotides. The record is from RefSeq and is a predicted model, not a curated record. Lineage: Eukaryota; Viridiplantae; Streptophyta; Magnoliopsida; Malvales; Malvaceae.
CAAAGGGAGAAAGAAUAGAAAAACCCUAAAGAGGAAAAAUUCAAGAGAAAUUCAUUGGAUUUUCGAAAAACGAAGCGAUCGGAGGUGGUGAGCCCUCUAGUAAGGGUAAGGAUAUCAUACCCGAGGACCAGGAGUAGGAGUACUCCCAUUAUAGGGAAGCGGAAAACUGAUGCUAGAGCCCUGCGAGGUUUCGGUUGACAUUCCAAGUAAGGUAUGUCUAUCGGGACAUCACGGCGGUUGUCACAAGCUUGAAGAGAGUACCGGGUCGUGACAAGGAAAAACAUGGAAGAGGUUGGGAAAUGUGAAAAUAUUUAAUUCUUAAUUAUUAAAAGUAUUUUAUAUUUAUAUUAAAGUCCUUACAAAUUUUGUUAUUUACCUCAUUAAGGAGGUGGUAACAUUUGGUGGAUUGAUAGUGCGUUGAAGCUAUACACUGUCAGUGCAUUAAAUAUUAAUUAUAUAUAUAUAA